Long non-coding RNA from Nanorana parkeri, 292 nucleotides. RefSeq lists it as uncharacterized. Lineage: Eukaryota; Metazoa; Chordata; Amphibia; Anura; Dicroglossidae. The record is from RefSeq and is a predicted model, not a curated record. The transcript is spliced from 3 exons.
CCCGGAUAAUAUUUUUCUCUCGGAUGUUUCGGGGACCUUUCACUUGGGUGGAUGUAAAUAUGUUGCUGGGAUAUCGGCCUUCUAUGGACCGAGCGUCUACUACAGGAACAAGAUGGUGUCCAUAUAUAAGGUUCUGCCUCCUCAGAUUAUUGAACGUGUGGAGCUCUCGCAGUGGUUUCUGAAGUGUGACGCCUUCAAGGAUGAGUGUGCAGUGCGCUUUCAGCACUUCUCUGCUGCAGAGCAAAAAACAAGAGACUGCAGAGACCCCUAUAGUGAUGUCAUCGCUCGCUAC